GUCAAGGAUAUUCUCGACUGACCAGUUGAUACGGCCAUAGAAAGUCUGAGGCUGAAGAAAAUAUUCGAGACUGACCACUGGAUUGGCUGCAACUUCGAAGCUUUCUUGGUAAAACUGCAUAUUAUCAAA
Long non-coding RNA from Macrobrachium nipponense, 129 nucleotides. RefSeq lists it as uncharacterized. Lineage: Eukaryota; Metazoa; Arthropoda; Malacostraca; Decapoda; Palaemonidae. The record is from RefSeq and is a predicted model, not a curated record. The transcript has 3 exons.